AUUAGCAGCUGCGGCCUGGCCUAGCCUUGGCCUGGGCCCUGCGGCCUCCCCUACCCUGCCCAGCUACCUCUUCAAAAGCCAAACAAGACAGAAUUUUCCCUGCUCUUCUUUUCUUAAAUAUAUGGAUUCAUAGGGCAAUUGUAGCUGGUUAUUGGCUCUGUCAGCCAUGGAGGAAAGCUGUAAUAUUUCCACUGGGAAGGUCACUUCAUUUUCCUUACCCAGGAGACUCAAUUGAGGCAUAUCCAGGAUAGGUACCUCAUAGAGUGGGUCUUACUAAGAAACAUUUCUGUGCCUGUGAUUAUUCACCUUGAUUUAUCAAAAGUAAAACAUGCUUGACCUAUGGGAUUUCUUUAUGUGAAAAAAUAACCAGACUUUUGAUAAUCACGAGUGAAAUGGGUAUCCUUUAGUUCAACAAGGCUUUUGACAAUCUUCCACAAUACUCUAUCCAAAUGAGAAUGAUAUAGUCUGAGUGAGAGAAAAAACAGAUUUGUACAAAAGUCAUUUGAUUGUUAGGCUCAGCAGGUUGAGCUGAAAUGAGCUGUACUCUACCAGGUUGCUGGUAACAAGUGGGGCAACACAUGGACUGAUCCUGCUUAACACUUUGAUUGUUGACAUGGAGGAGCUUAUGGAAUGCUUGCAUAUAAGGUACUCUGUAAAUAGGAGACAAGGGGAUAUCAGUUUUGUUCAGAGGGACCUGGAAAAACUGGAGGAAUGGAUUGACAUGAAAUUAAUUAUAUUCAACAAGGAUAAAUGCAAACUCAUACACCUGAGAAAGAAUAUAUCCCUUUGUAACUGUACAUGCUGGAGACUCACCACCUGACAAGCAGCUAUUCUGUAACAGGCUUGUAGGAUGUGGUGAGUAGUAGGAGACUGUGGCGUGUCCUGGAAGCAAAGAAGACCAACAAUAACACUGUGAAGAUAGUGGGUUUCCACAGACCAGGGACCAUUUUGCCUGGAGAAGAGAAUGCUUUAAAGGAACUUAACAGCAGCUCUUUGGCACUGUCAGGCAAUUGAGGAGGCACCUGACAUGGCCUAGAGAUGUCUGUGGCUAGCCUGGCCUGUGCCAAGAGUGGCCACCCUAGAAGCAGCAGGAUACUCUGUGCGACUGUUGAUUGUCCUGAGCCAUGGAGUCCAGAGUGAAGGAAACAGAUGGAUCUCUUGUGUGGGUACUCAAAACGCUUCAAUUUCCAGGGACAAAUAACAGUAAAUACAGGGUUUCAACAGCUUAAGUAUGGGGAAGGGAACAUGGAGAGGAUACAAACUUGGACCAGUGGCAAGAAACCUGGGGAGGAGUAUAAGGUGGGGUAUGCAUUAUGACAACCAAUGGGAACAACAGGGGAGGAGAGUAGACAAAACAUCCCAAUGGGUAUUCAAGGGAAUAUAAGAUGGACACAGAAGUUUCUAGAGAUAAAGGAUUUCUGUGAUGGACAGGAGAGGAGGGUAGGGUUUCUCUGAGUGGCAGCGAAGGAUCCAGAAUAGGGGGUAGGUCUUUAGAUAGAUGGACAGGGGGAUGGGAAAGUACAUCUCCAGGGCAAACCAGUAUGCAUGGAGGACAACCGGAACAGACUGUUUUUGCUUACAACGCCAUAAUUUUAUAACAAAGGAACUCACUACCACAGGCACCAGCCAGUCUGUUCCUGUUAGGGUAUGGGGAAAGGCGUUCAAAAAACACUGCUGAAACAAGAGAGAAUCAGAUCAGAUCAUCCAGAUAACAGUUAAGCUGUAGAGCAAAGCAGGCCAAAAAAUUUUAUGGUGUUACGUUAAUCUAGUCUGACAUCAUAUCCAGGACAACUAGAGGGAAAUUGAACUGGAGAUGUCCUCAGUUUUCCAUCAGCUUGAGUUGUGUGUAUGUUCCUAUACUAUGGUCUUUAUUUGUGCUGAUAGGGAUGUGUAAAACCAGGGGCAGCUAGAUUAUAAAAACAGUAGAAGAGUGGUCAGUGGGGCAGUCAAGUUGAAGAUGCCAUCUCAAGAGCCCUUACCACAGAGACUCUCCUUGCCACCACAUGGUGAUGGAUUGUCCUGUCUGCUUUGACUACUUACAUAAAUGCAGUCCUAUGUCAACACCACAGUAAAUUAGUUUAGCUUUUAACAAACACUCUUUCAGUAUCUAUACAGUAGCAGUAUGAAGUAGUUGAAUCAAUUUAGUAAUUUAGUCAGUUGUGUAGGAGAAUUUGGGAUAAGUUGUAUUAUGCAAAGGCAGCUUUAUAUUUCAUAAUAUUUUCUUCUUCUCUCAUGGUCAGAAGUUCAAAUUGAUGUUUGUGGUUUUGGUAUUACGUUAUUUGUCCGUGUCACAUGUGGAAGGAGGUUAUAUGUGGGAAUAUGUGUAUCUUUAACAGUUGCUGCUGUUGACAAUUAAUAUUAUCAGAACAGGGUUGAGAAAAACGUAGUACUUAAAGGUUGGUAUGAAAAUGUAAGUAUUACAGUUUUUGGUUUUGUUUUGGAAAAGAGGUUCUAGCCCUUGUGAAUGUGAAAACAAACUUUUAAGAGCCUGAGUCACACAGAGAAGUCUACAUAUUCCUUUAUAUUUUGGAAGGUCUGAUUUAUUCCUAACACCUUUAUAAAAUUUUGGAAUGUGAUGGCAGAGCCCCAGUCAAUUGAAAAGUAUCAAGAAAACCUUCAUAACAGCUUCAAAGGGGGCACUUAAAAUAUUUCACACUGCAUGUGUAGAAAUGGAAGGGGGAAUGACAUUUCUGUAGUUUUUGGUUCCCCAUUUAUCUUGGCAUUCGAAAGCUGAGGUAGGAAGAAAACAAAUGCGAGUUCUGAUUGUAACAGGGCAAUAAUCAAUUGCCUUGUAGGGGAGAAAUGGCCUGUUCCAGCUUUUAAAUUUUGCAUUGAGGCAAGCCUUUUUAUUACUUUCUCCUAGGAUUAUCUCAUUCCUGUAACUUCUGUUAAUGCUUCUGCACACAUGCACAUUUAAAACAAUUUUUUACAGAAAGCAGAUGCUCUAAAAUCUAUUUUAAUCCAACUGCUGACAAUAUGCAACUAAAAAAAGUAGGAUAAACUUUAGAGUCUAAUGUCUUUUCCUUAAUUCUAUGUCUUUUUCUACCCCCUCCAAACUUUUCCUUUUUUUUUUCUUUUUUUUUUAAUAUUUGUUUGUCAGGGUGCUUUAUACAUCCUCUGACCCAUUAAAAUCAAUCUGAUUCAUUUUCCAUUACAAAUGGUAAAAGCUAUGUGUAUUUCCAGUUUAUUUUAACUGUAUGUAACUUCAUCGCCUGAAACAUAAUCCGUUAAAUGAUUUCUGAACUUGAAAAGCAGGCUGAUAUCUGGCACUCUCAUGGCACUUCAGACCCCUUAGGAUUUGUGUGUUUCCAUCCAGAAGAAAUAACACAUACCCAAAGUUAAAAACAGAAAAUCUAAUGGUUUCCUAGCCUGUUUGCUUUCAAUAUCUCCAGGUAUGAAGUGGAAGAAGCAGCUGAAAAGGUGAACAGGAACAAAGAAAGAUAUAUAAAAGGGUUUAUCAUCAUAAAAGGUGAGUUAAAUAGAGUGGAAGUUUCCUGCUGUUUCUAGUGCAAUUUCAGCUGGCCAUUUGCCCUAGCACAAAUGGAUGUGGAGACUGUCCUAACAGAGAAAUUAUUUUGGAUCCUAUUGCACAAUAAAUUAGACAGUGUCUCAGACAUCUGUGUCUGAGCUGACUUUUCUUUUCCUCAGAGGUUUUUGAAGACUUCUCCAGUAAUGGUGAAUAAUAAUUAAGUUCCCACACAGUCUUCCUUUUUGCGCCUCUGAGAUCCUUCUUCUGUGACCUCUCGUAUCCUUCUCUUAUUGUUUUAGGGUAUAACUGUUUCUACAUUUCUACAGAGGUUUCUCCUUCCAGACUUCAGCUACUGAGGAAUAAAUGACGAUGUGCUGUGACCUUUUAUACUAGCACUUCACAGUCCCAUAUGAAUUGCAAUUACAUUUUCUCUUUUUGGCAUGUGUGGCCCCUCAAGGCUUUACACAGCUGAUGAUCUGUGGCAGGUCUCUCCUGAGUAUCAGAAACAAGAUUGCCCAGAUGAACCACAGCUGCACAUUCAAGUACAGAAUUAUUUCUCAUGCAAAAAGCCCUGUGUACCUGAAUGGAACCUACAAGAGACCUGGAGAGGAGCUAUCUACAAGGACAUGUGACAGGGCACAUUGGAAUGUCUUCAAACUGAAAGAGGGAGAUGUCAGGAUGACUAAGUCCCCCAAUGGGAUCAGAGCCUGAGAGUGUGUUUUUUCCUGACGUAAGAAUGCUACAUUACUAUACUCCCUUCUAUCACACAGCCUCCAGUAAAUACCAACUGCAAGAUUUCCUUUAUCAGCUUGGCCUUCAAAUUUUUAGCUAUAAUCUCAACCCAUCCAUUGUUGCCUUUCAAAGGCAGCUUUGUGCGUUCAAUCCAUUGUUUACAGAAAAAGCAGCCUCUCUAUCUUUCCUUCCUUGCUUGUUACCUAUAAAUGGUGUGUAGCAUUUUUUGUUGCUCAUGUGUCUUGGUUUAAGCCCCGCACUACGCAACCACUCACUCAUACUCUGACCCCAGUGGAAUGCAGAGGAGAAUCAGAAGUAAGAUUUGUGAGUUGAGAUACAAACAGCUUAAUAAUUGGAAAAAAGUGAAAUAGAAUAAUAACAAGGAUGAUGAUGAUAAUAAUUAAUUAGGAAAAAGAAAAGAGAAAACCCAAGGAAAACAAGUGAUGCACAAUAUAGUCACUACCUGCUGACUGAUGGCAACUUCCCAUAGUGCACCAUGACUAGCCCCUGUUUGCAGGUAAAUCCCUCAGUUUAAAUACUGGACAUGAUAUUCCUGUAGAGUUUGAGUCAUCUGCCCAGACCAUGCUCCCUUCCAGCACUUUGUGCACUCCCUUGCUGGCAGAGCACAAGACACUGAAAAAGCCUUGACUAAAGGUAAACAAUGCUUAGCAACCACAAAAACACUGGUGUGUUACCAACACAUUUGGUAUUCCUAUGUUGAAUGCAAAACACAGAACUGUAUCAGCUACUGGAAAGAACUAAACUCUAACCCAUUUGAAAUUAGGGCACCAUGCUAUGUGCAUUGGUAUAGAGAAACUUUGGUAGUGCUAUUGACUGUCACACUUUCAGAGGAAUACACCAUAUUUGAGCCCCUGGCCACAUCCCAAGUCACCAAGACAUUCACUCAGUGUCCGUCUCCAGCAGGACAAGGGGUGAAAAUAAAAUAGGCAAGAUCAUGGGUCAUGGUACAGACAGAGAAAUCACCCAUUACUGUCCACAGACUUUACUUCAGGAUAAUGAAUUAAAUUUAUUGCCAAUUAACAUGAGAAUAAUAUUGUGAGAAAUAAAAUCAAAACCAAAGCCAGCUUCACCUUCCCCUUUCUUUCCAAACUCAGCUUAAGUCAUGACUCGUCUUAAUCCUCCCAAAUAUAAGCAAUGCAACUGUCCAUCUCCACUGCUUCUUCCUCCUCACACUUUUCUCUGCUGUAGUGUUGUGUCUCUUCAACAGAAUACAGUCCUUCACAAUAUGGAUCUUGGACUGCCGCUCUUCAGGAGUAGGGUGGGUCCCUCAUGGACCAAAGUUUCUGCCAGAAAACCUACUUCUAUGGGGGCUUCUCCAUGGACUGCAGUUGCUGCCCAGAGCCUGCUUCAUCUUGAGCUCAGGCUGCAGUUUCGUUCAGGACAUCUAUACUUGCUCUAGCAUGGAGUCCUCCACAGAUUAUGGUCCUGCACAGAUUGCAGUAGAACCUGUGUGCUGUCAUUGAGUCUCUCUUGGAACCAGCUGGAACUGGCUCUCUGACAUGGGGACAGUUCCUGGUGUCUUCUUGUGGGAGCCCUUCCCGUGAAAACCUGGCCAUGAAAAUGCAAUACAGAGCUAUAUCACAGGUGUUCCCCUUGAUGCCUUGAGAGGGUACCUAGAACAGAGGCUAAACAGUGUUAAAGAAAUAAAGUAGGUAUUUAAUAAAAAGGCCUUCAAAGGAUACACUUUGGGCAGUACAAUAGCCUGGCCAAGGCUACACCCAAGAUGGGUGACAGGUCACACAUUUUUUACACUUCUAUGUUUUGGUGAAUUUAAACACUGGGGUUAAUUGUCCAAUUACAGCUUCAGGUUAUGAAGUCACAUGCUCCCAGAUUGCUCUCUCCAAUUCACUGUUAUUUGUACUUUUUUGGCCUGAAGCUGGAAUGGUGCCUUUGGUUCUCAGGCUGGAUAAGGAUUGUUCACUAAACUGUGAAGAGAACUUGCUAACAUUUUAUAUGAAGUUGAGUCAUAUACUAAUGCAGUACAGAAUCUGGAAAAUAUGAAAGCUAAAACUUAAGGCAUCACCCUCUUAAUGCCUAGUUCAUCUGCAGCCCCUUUACUCAAAAUUCUCAAAAUUCCCAAAUUACUCAAAUUCCACUCUUUUCUCCCACUAAAUCCUGUUUAAAGCUCUCCUUUUAGGUACCUUUUAGAUUACCCUCAAAAAAGGGUAUAAACUCAAGCCAUAAACUGCAUCCUCAGAAGCAUCGCCAAGGACUCCUUUUGAAAGGUUUUAUCUGCAACAGCAAAGGAUCUUAGGAACAGAAUUUUAACAUGCAAAGUCUGAAAGUCUACAGGGAUUAUGCAGCUGAGCAAGCAUUGGCUCUGUUUUACUGGCUUUUGUGCCAUGACAGUGUCUGUGUAAGUGCUGGUGCCUUGGGUGUUUCCCAGUGUAUUGGAGAGGGAUGAAUGCCAGGGUGGAGGCUUGUGACCUGGAUUUCUCUAUCUCACUCUCUUCUAGGUCUUUUCAGACCACUUGUAGUCAAUUACUUUUCUCUCUUUUUUUUUUCCCUCUCUUUUUCAGUUGUUCUAUGUGUUUGCAAGAGUUCUAAAAUCAUGAACUUUUGGAAACUUUUCUGUGCUUUAUAUAAAGUGUUGUGAUCAAAGUCUCUAUGGCAGACAUCCCUGGGGUUCAUCUGCUUUGUGUCAGAAGCCUUAUGUUGGUUUCCUCCUUCUAUUUGUGGCUAAAUUUUAAAAGGAAGUUUCAGACAUUUGUGGAAGUGACUCAAAGUCAUUCUUUGUUGCCAAUUUAGUUACAGCUCACUUGGUGUUUUGAACUGCUUUAGCAACUGACUGCUAUUCUUUUGGAAUGAACUAGAAAAGUAUAAGCAGCAGGUAAAAUAUAUUAAAAGCUGCAUUCACACAGAUCUUCUCACUGUUAAAAUGAUCAUAAUUUCCAAACUCACUUGAGAUGUACACAGUAUGUAUCCUUCCUAUCAUCUCUUUGAUAUGUUUUAUAAAGUGCUCUUAAUUAUGGUUUUCUUCAAAAUAUCCAUUUUCCUAUUAUACAGAUAAAAUACAUGUUCAAAAUGCAGUUUCCCUCAUUGUGUGAUGUUCUCAUUAUUGGUCUCUGUAGCUUUGGAAUGGAAUGACCUAAAACAGAGCUUGAAAGACUCUGAGGUCCUUCACCUGGCCUGCUGUUCAGUAUCUGCCCUGAGCAGAUUCAUAGCUGGGUGAGUUUCCCUACUCCUCUCAUCUCUUUUUAUCAGUCACCCUCACUUCCAGAGACAUAUUUUACCUAUAAUUCUACAAAUCAUCCCCCAAAAACAAGCAAAAAACCCCCAAACAGAUAAAGCAGCUCCUUAGUAUUUACUCAUAUAUGCAGUAUUUGUGUGUUCAUGUGAAAACGAUGUCUGUGUAUGUAUAUGUAUGAGCAUAAACAUGUUUAUAUGUGUGUGUUUGCAU
Passer domesticus (house sparrow) is the source of this 7622-nucleotide long non-coding RNA. RefSeq lists it as uncharacterized. The record is from RefSeq and is a predicted model, not a curated record. NCBI's taxonomy places the organism in Eukaryota, Metazoa, Chordata, Aves, Passeriformes, Passeridae. The transcript is spliced from 3 exons.